CCUACAAGUUGGCACGUAAGUUAAAAAAAAGAGACUGAGACAUAACGAAAUGAUAACGCACUUAAUAUAAAAAUAGGUCAAAACGAGGAGAACUACUAACCUUCAAUCGUAACGAGGACAAUCUCGUUGUCAUAUGGUUUCGUUCUAGGUUGGCUCGAUUCCUACGAGAGAGAACGAAAGGGUUGUUGAAGUCUUCUCUAAAGACCUAGUCCAUAGUCCAGGUCUCGGAUACCUCUCUUCGUUGUAGUACUACGACGAUAUAGAAUCACCAGAAAGAAAGUGUUACCACUAGACGAAGAAUAGACAAGAUCCACAGUGACAGUAUCGAACGAACCGUAUUGGAAGGAAGAAAACUACCAACAGUUGUGUGUAAAUUCAGUGUGUAUGUGGUAUGUUCUACAUCUCGGAAACCAUAUACGUCGGCGUGAGGGAACGGCGGUGGACGAUGAAGUUCAGGCGGCUGCCGGUGCAACCUUUGAUCCCGAAGAGGUAUCGGGCGGAGUUAGAGGUGGAGAGAAAGAACCGCUCCUUGUAUAAAAACGUCCGGUCCUCCUUCGAACU
Molecule: ribosomal RNA, 561 nt
Filed under: Triticum aestivum (bread wheat)
Lineage: Eukaryota; Viridiplantae; Streptophyta; Magnoliopsida; Poales; Poaceae
Description: partial small subunit ribosomal RNA
Source: RNAcentral